This 483-nucleotide ribosomal RNA is filed under the name uncultured bacterium. RNAcentral describes it as "partial 16S ribosomal RNA". It matches the Rfam family "Bacterial small subunit ribosomal RNA", at positions 30 to 506 of the family's 1533-position model. The record is from RNAcentral.
AUUGAACGCUGGCGGCAGGCCUAACACAAGCAAGUCGAGCGGAUGAAGGGAGCUUGCUCCUGGAUUCAGCGGCGGACGGGUGAGUAAUGCCUAGGAAUCUGCCUGGUAGUGGGGGAUAACGUCCGGAAACGGGCGCUAAUACCGCAUACGUCCUGAGGGAGAAAGUGGGGGAUCUUCGGACCUCACGCUAUCAGAUGAGCCUAGGUCGGAUUAGCUAGUUGGUGGGGUAAAGGCCUACCAAGGCGACGAUCCGUAACUGGUCUGAGAGGAUGAUCAGUCACACUGGAACUGAGACACGGUCCAGACUCCUACGGGAGGCAGCAGUGGGGAAUAUUGGACAAUGGGCGAAAGCCUGAUCCAGCCAUGCCGCGUGUGUGAAGAAGGUCUUCGGAUUGUAAAGCACUUUAAGUUGGGAGGAAGGGCAGUAAGUUAAUACCUUGCUGUUUUGACGUUACCAACAGAAUAAGCACCGGCUAACUUCGU